ACGCAGAGGUUGUCAAACAAUGAAGCGCAGAAAGAGGGAGAAGGAGAGGCUAGGGUAGGUUCCCACAUGACAGUGCUUGACAUCCGCGUGCGUGCGUACAUGUGUGGGGCAACAAAUGGGAGAGGCUUUGUGUACUGUGCGCUUUCCCGCGCUGUUUUUGUGCUUCUUUCUUUGGCGUGACAGAGUUCACCUCCUCUGUUUCCUUUCUCGCGUUGCGCACUUGCAACUGACUACAUCCUACGGUAUAGGCGCACCGAGGGACGGAUGUGGAGGAUGCCGAAGUCUCACUUCUCUUCUCCUGCCCCCCCCCCCCCCCCACGGAGAACAGAAGAAACAAACAAAGCGCUGGCCUUGUCGGGGUGGGGACCGGCGAGUGCAUGGUGGCGCUUCUUCCAUUUUGUGGGGUCGCGCAUCCGUCCACCUCCUUCUCUUCUUCCCAGGCUUCUUCUUUUUCGCACACGUCAUCCACGGGCGCUUGAGAGCUUUUCUCCCCCCGGCAUCUCAUUGCAAACGAGUGCUGCUGCUCUCUUGUACGGGGAGGGGGGGGGCUCUCAGCUGCACCUGUCGGGCAGCUUUCGGCCGCGACGUACGGGUGUGUAUGCGCGUGUGGGGCGGAAUAGCUCUCUUUUACUCCCUCUUAUGUUGGGGAGGAUGUCGACUGGUUUUGCUAUCCUGUCUGUGAGCUCCAGUCGGCCCCACCCCGACCCGCGGCCCUCAUCGUGCCCGCCACGGCGUGAGACAGGAGGGGUAGGGAAGGGCGGACCCUGCCCUUUUGCGGAAGGCAUGGAGAAGAAAAGCAGCAAUACCGUGAGAGCGGCGUACGGAGCUGAGCCUCCCCCUGGCCCUUCCUGGCGAUGUCUAGCGCCUUCUCGACACCGCCCACGUUAGACUAGAAAAUGCGGAUGGAGCCCAUCAACGGGAUAGCUUGCCUUCCUCUCUUUCCCUUUCUCCCUGAUCUCACACUAGCGAGGGCAG
RNAcentral lists this unclassified non-coding RNA (975 nucleotides) under Leishmania donovani. Its description in RNAcentral is "gene:unknown". The record is from RNAcentral. Lineage: Eukaryota; Euglenozoa; Kinetoplastea; Trypanosomatida; Trypanosomatidae.